Molecule: ribosomal RNA, 253 nt
Filed under: uncultured bacterium
Lineage: Bacteria
Description: partial 16S ribosomal RNA
Rfam family: Bacterial small subunit ribosomal RNA
Source: RNAcentral
GACGAAGGGGGCUAGCGUUGUUCGGAAUUACUGGGCGUAAAGCGCGUGUAGGCGGUUGUCCAAGUCGGGUGUGAAAGCCUUGAGCUCAACUCAAGAAAUGCACUCGGUACUGGGCGACUAGAGGACCGGAGAGGAUAGUGGAAUUCCCAGUGUAGUGGUGAAAUACGUAGAUAUCUGGAGGAACACCGGUGGCGAAGGCGACAUCCUGGACCGGUAUUGACGCUGAGGCGCGAAAGCCAGGGGAGCAAACGGG